GGGCCAUUACCAUUGUGACGUCGGCGCCCAUGGGUACUCUCCCUUUUCGAAACGUUUUGAAAGACAAUGCAACCGUCCCAAUGGAAUAUUAUUGAAGCCCUGGUUGAAAAAGCCCCUAAAGAUUUAUGUUAUACAACGUUUGACAUGUUUGAACGAACUUAAAUAUAUAUUUUUUGCUCAUUCCUGACGACAAGUCAGACGCACACGGUACAUUUUUACUAGCCUUUGGAGCGCGCUAACACUAUUGGGACAUAAAUUAUUAACUUUUUUGAACAAAACGACAUUUUUUAUGGACCUGGGAUUCUUAGAAGUGCCUUCUGAUAAAGAUAAUCAAAGGACCUGAGCCCUAGGACCAUGCCUCAGGACUACCUGUCAUGAUGACUCCUUGCUGUCCCCAGUCCACCUGGCCAUGCUGCUGCUCCAGUUUCAACUGUUCUGCCUGCGGCUAUGGAACCCUGACCUGUUCACCGGACGUGCUUGUUGCACCCUCGACAACUACUAUGGACAAUAAACCAACACACCUCCAGGCUGUGUAAGGGAUAUUUGAACAAGAAGGAGAGUGAUGCAUCAGAUGACCCGGUCUCCACAAUCACCCAACCUCAAUGAGAUGGUUUGGGAUGAGUUGGAACGCAGAGUGAAAGAAAAUCAACCAACAAGUCUCAGCGUAUGUGGGAACUCCUUCAAGACUGUUGGAAAAGCAUUCCAGGUGACGCUGGUUGAGAGAAUGCCAAGAGUGUACCAAGCUGUCAUCAAGGCAAAGGGUUGCUACUUUGAAGAAUCUCAAAUAUAUUUUGAUUUGUUUAACACUUUGUUUGGCUACUACGUGAUUC
This 830-nucleotide long non-coding RNA is filed under the name Salmo salar (Atlantic salmon). RNAcentral's name for it is "lncRNA (ENSSSAG00000103864.1)". The record is from RNAcentral. Lineage: Eukaryota; Metazoa; Chordata; Actinopteri; Salmoniformes; Salmonidae.